Non-coding RNA from Salmo salar (Atlantic salmon), 314 nucleotides. The record is from RefSeq and is a predicted model, not a curated record. Lineage: Eukaryota; Metazoa; Chordata; Actinopteri; Salmoniformes; Salmonidae.
CUGCUCUCCAGCAAACUAAACAGGUGGAGAGAGGAGGGGAGACAGUCAUCUGUCAUCUACAUAUCUACAUAUUUACUGCAGUUAGAAAGAUCUCUAAGAUGAUGCUACUACAGAGUCCACAGAGGCGGAGCGAAGCAGGAGAGAAGAACAGCAAGGACCGAAGCAGAUGAUUCCUACUAAUCUUAGCACCCUCACAAAAUAGUCCUUUCAGAUGGAUACUUCAGGAAACGAGACUCCCAAGACCAAAACCCAACGUUAACCACGUUGUCAAUAGCCCUGAAAUGCCAGAAGAAGAGAACAUGCCCCCAUUCAAC